GGGGUUGACUUGGCUAUUUGCUCUUAGAUAUAUAAUAUAAUCUGAGAUACGAGGGUUCGAAUCCCUCCAACUCCA
Molecule: transfer RNA, 75 nt
Filed under: Clostridia bacterium
Lineage: Bacteria; Bacillati; Bacillota; Clostridia
Description: tRNA-OTHER
Source: RNAcentral